This 413-nucleotide long non-coding RNA is filed under the name Cricetulus griseus (Chinese hamster). Its description in RNAcentral is "lncRNA (ENSCGRG00015038987.1)". The record is from RNAcentral. Lineage: Eukaryota; Metazoa; Chordata; Mammalia; Rodentia; Cricetidae.
GAAUUUUUGGCCAUCCGAGUGUGCAAAGCAAGUUCCAGGCCAGCCCAGAGCUGGUAUAAAGAGAAACCCCAUCUGGAACACCUUACAAAAGAAAGAGGGUCUACAAGGAACCUCGAUGGAGAAGACACGUACCUGCCAGGCCCUUGGAAUAAGACUUCAGUUUCCAGUAGUGAACUCGACAAGUUGGGAGAACCUGCUGCUAUCCAGACUAGCCUCCAGGUUUCCAAAGGCCUCAAGAGCCUGCAAGUAACCCAGACGCGACAGUACACCCAGAGACCCAAUGUAAUCACGCCUCCAGGUACACCCUGGGUCUAUGCAACAGCUCCAUGGGAUCUCAUGGGCAAAGUUAACAGUUCUCCCAGUGAAUCCUUCUGAAUUUCUACUGAAGUUUUCUUGUUCCCAGGUAUGUCAGC